CGAUUGGCUGAUUGAGAUCGAGGCCGGAUCUGAUCACGUGACUGAAAAAACGCCCUCGGUCAACUGAUUAGAAAAGGGGAUGAGAGAGUUUUACAAUUGUGAAUGAAUGGGUCAUAAAGAUUGUCUUCUUGAAAAUAAAUGAUAAGCUGAGCCUCAUGUGUGAACACAGCGCCUCUAUCUUUCCCGUUCAAUUAACCAUCUGCGAGCAGCAGUGGCAGCGGCGUGACCGGCCAGUGUGAUGGUGCGAGCCCGGGGACCAGGACAGGAUGUUACCAUAUGUUCCCACUGUGAGCAACGUGAGCAACAAGUCACCAGAGGGCCAUUCGUUUCCA
This is a long non-coding RNA of Scophthalmus maximus (turbot), 332 nucleotides long. RefSeq lists it as uncharacterized. The record is from RefSeq and is a predicted model, not a curated record. Lineage: Eukaryota; Metazoa; Chordata; Actinopteri; Pleuronectiformes; Scophthalmidae. The transcript has 3 exons.